GGCGACCGGGUGAGUAACACGUGACUAACCUACCUCCGAGUGGGGAAUAACUCCGGGAAACCGGGGCUAAUACCGCAUAACAUCGCAAGAUCAAAGCAGCAAUGCGCUUGGAGAGGGGGUCGCGGCUGAUUAGCUAGUUGGCGGGGUAACGGCCCACCAAGGCGAAGAUCGGUAUCCGGCCUGAGAGGGCGCACGGACACACUGGAACUGAAACACGGUCCAGACUCCUACGGGAGGCAGCAGUGGGGAAUUUUGCGCAAUGGGGGAAACCCUGACGCAGCAACGCCGCGUGGAGGAUGAAGCCCUUUGGGGCGUAAACUCCUUUCGACCAAGACGAUAAUGACGGUACUGGUGGAAGAAGCACCGGCUAACUCUGUGCCAGCAGCCGCGG
Molecule: ribosomal RNA, 391 nt
Filed under: uncultured bacterium
Lineage: Bacteria
Description: bacterial SSU rRNA
Rfam family: Bacterial small subunit ribosomal RNA
Source: RNAcentral